CCCUAUGGGGUGCAGCAGGCGCGAAAACUUGGCAAUGCGAGAAAUCGUGACCAGGGAACUCCAAGUGCAUCGGGUAAGACCGAUGCUUUUCUUGACUCUUCAAAGGUCUUGGAAUAAGGGGUGGGUAAGGACGGUGCCAGCCGCCGCGGUAAUACCGGCGCCUCAAGUGGUAGUCGCUUUUAUUGGGCCUAAAACGUCCGUAGCCGGUUUGGUACAUUCGUGGGUAAAUCAAGGCGCUCAACGUCUUGAAUUCUGCGAGCACGGCCAGACUUGGGACCGGGUGAGGUGUGGGGUACUCUCAGGGUAGGGGUAAAAUCCUGUCAUCCUGAGAGGACCACCUGUUGCGAAGGCGCCACACUAGAACGGAUCCGACGGUCAGGGACGAAGCCUAGGGGCACGAACCGGAUUAGAUACCCGGGUAGUCCUAGGUGUAAACGCUGUGGACUUGAUGUUGGGAGUGCUCCGAGCACCCUCAGUGUCGAAGCGAAGGUGAUAAGUCCACUGCCUGGGGAGUACGGUCGCAAGGCUGAAACUUAAAGGAAUUGGCGGGGGAGCACUGCAACCUGAGGAUUGUGCGGUUUAAUUGGAUUCAACGCCGGAAAACUCACCAUAGCCGACGGACAUAUGAAGGCCAGCGUAACGAGCUUGCCGGAUUGUUCGAGAGGUGGUGCAUGGCC
RNAcentral lists this ribosomal RNA (677 nucleotides) under uncultured Candidatus Poseidoniales archaeon. Its description in RNAcentral is "bacterial SSU rRNA". It matches the Rfam family "Archaeal small subunit ribosomal RNA", at positions 321 to 999 of the family's 1478-position model. The record is from RNAcentral. Lineage: Archaea; Methanobacteriati; Thermoplasmatota; Candidatus Poseidoniia; Candidatus Poseidoniales.